RNAcentral lists this ribosomal RNA (253 nucleotides) under uncultured bacterium. RNAcentral's name for it is "partial 16S ribosomal RNA". It matches the Rfam family "Bacterial small subunit ribosomal RNA", at positions 524 to 776 of the family's 1533-position model. The record is from RNAcentral.
UACGAAGGGGGCUAGCGUUGCUCGGAAUCACUGGGCGUAAAGGGUGCGUAGGCGGGUCUUUAAGUCAGGGGUGAAAUCCCAGAGCUCAACUCUGGAACUGCCUUUGAUACUGGGUAUCUUGAGUAUGGAAGAGGUGAGUGGAAUUCCGAGUGUAGAGGUGAAAUUCGUAGAUAUUAGGAAGAACACCAGUGGCGAAGGCGGCUCACUGGCCCGGAACUGACGCUGAUGUGCGAAAGCGUGGGGAGCAAACAGG